Molecule: ribosomal RNA, 434 nt
Filed under: uncultured bacterium
Lineage: Bacteria
Description: partial 16S ribosomal RNA
Rfam family: Bacterial small subunit ribosomal RNA
Source: RNAcentral
AGCGAACGCUGGCGGCAUGCCUAACACAUGCAAGUCGAACGAACCUUUCGGGGUUAGUGGCGGACGGGUGAGUAACACGUGGGAACGUGCCUUUAGGUUCGGAAUAACUCAGGGAAACUUGUGCUAAUACCGAAUGUGCCCUUCGGGGGAAAGAUUUAUCGCCUUUAGAGCGGCCCGCGUCUGAUUAGCUAGUUGGUUGAGGUAAUGGCUCACCAAGGCGACGAUCAGUAGCUGGUCUGAGAGGAUGAUCAGCCACAUUGGGACUGAGACACGGCCCAAACUCCUACGGGAGGCAGCAGUGGGGAAUCUUGCGAAAUGGGCGAAAGCCUGACGCAGCCAGGCCGCGUGAAUGAUGAAGGUCUUAGGAUUGUAAAAUUCUUUCACCGGGGACGAUAAUGACGGUACCCGGAGAAGAAGCCCCGGCUAACUUCGUG